This 325-nucleotide ribosomal RNA is filed under the name uncultured microorganism. RNAcentral's name for it is "bacterial SSU rRNA". It matches the Rfam family "Bacterial small subunit ribosomal RNA", at positions 9 to 325 of the family's 1533-position model. The record is from RNAcentral.
GAGUUUGAUCCUGGCUCAGAUUGAACGCUGGCGGCAUGCCUUACACAUGCAAGUCGAACGGCAGCAUGAUCUAGCUUGCUAGAUUGAUGGCGAGUGGCGAACGGGUGAGUAAAUACGAUCGGAACGUUGACCCUGUAGUGGGGGAUAACUAGUCGAAAGAUUAGCUAAUACCGCAUACGACCUGAGGGUGAAAGUGGGGGACCGCAAGGCCUCAUGCUAUAGGAGCGGCCGAUGUCUGAUUAGCUAGUUGGUGGGGUAAAGGCCCGACCAAGGCGACGAUCAGUAGCUGGUCUGAGAGGACGAUCAGCCACACUGGGACUGAGAC